AAACUUUCAACAACGGAUCUCUUGGUUCUGGCAUCGAUGAAGAACGCAGCGAAAUGCGAUAAGUAAUGUGAAUUGCAGAAUUCAGUGAAUCAUCGAAUCUUUGAACGCACAUUGCGCCCUGUGGUAUUCCGCAGGGCAUGCCUGUUCGAGCGUCAUUUA
RNAcentral lists this ribosomal RNA (159 nucleotides) under fungal sp. JH1. RNAcentral describes it as "5.8S ribosomal RNA". It matches the Rfam family "5.8S ribosomal RNA". From Rfam's summary of the family: 5.8S ribosomal RNA (5.8S rRNA) is a component of the large subunit of the eukaryotic ribosome. It is transcribed by RNA polymerase I as part of the 45S precursor that also contains 18S and 28S rRNA. Functionally, it is thought that 5.8S rRNA may be involved in ribosome translocation. RNAcentral also lists the same sequence under 3 other names. Lineage: Eukaryota; Fungi. The record is from RNAcentral.